AGCAGCCGCGGUAAUUCCAGCUCCAAUAGCGUAUAUUAAAGUUGUUGCAGUUAAAAAGCUCGUAGUUGAAUUUCGGGAUUAGUGCGCUGGUCAUGCCUUUGGUAUGUACUGGUGUUACUGGUUCCUACCUUCUGAAGAACCGUCAUGUCAUUCAUUUGGUGUGGCGGGGAAUCAGGACUGUUACUUUGAAAAAAUUAGAGUGUUUAAAGCAGGCUCGCGCUUGAAUACAUUAGCAUGGAAUAAUGAAAUAGGACGUUUGACCCUAUUUUGUUGGUUUCUAGGAUCGACGUAAUGAUUAAUAGGGAUAGUUGGGGGCAUUAGUAUUCAAUUGUCAGAGGUGAAAUUCUUGGAUUUAUUGAAGACUAACUACUGCGAAAGCAUUUGCCAAGGAUGUUUUCAUUAAUCAAGAACGAAAGUUAGGGGAUCGAAGACGAUCAGAUACCGUCGUAGUCUUAACCAUAAACUAUGCCGACUAGGGAUCGGAUGAUGUUAUUUUUAAUGACUCAUUCGGCGCCUUACG
This 520-nucleotide unclassified non-coding RNA is filed under the name uncultured Glomus. Its description in RNAcentral is "SSU rRNA". It matches the Rfam family "Eukaryotic small subunit ribosomal RNA", at positions 569 to 1092 of the family's 1831-position model. The record is from RNAcentral. RNAcentral also lists the same sequence under 1 other name. Lineage: Eukaryota; Fungi; Glomeromycota; Glomeromycetes; Glomerales; Glomeraceae.